AUUUUGAUGGAAAGAUUCGUCGUCAUUGUUGCCACAUGUCAUUUAUACAAGUACGGUCACCAUUAUAUUUCGUUUCCGUUAAUACAAAAUAGUUAUCUCUUUUAGUUGUAAUUGGUGCAACCACUCAUCAUCAUAUCCAUUAUUUACAAUGUAAUUUUACCUACGUUUUUAACCUUUUUGAUAGUCUACUUUUAUUUUAGCUGGUAUGCUUUUCGUAUUGUUUAAUGAAACUCACAAGUAGACACUUCAAAAAUAUUAAACACAUGCUCUUUACAUGUUAAUUUAAUAUAACUACGAAUACAGAAAGUUUCGUUGAUGUACCACCAAAGUCUCUUACUGCUUCUCUUCCUUAUUACAUUUACGCCCUCUAUCGGAAUUCAUUCAGUUCAUUCAUUUUUAAAAUAGGUCGACAUUUAAUGUGAUUACUAACUGAUAAUAAAUAUUUGUAAGCUAUGUCAACAAAACCAAGUAGCAAGGAUGCACCCCCACCUGUUCCUAAAAGAGAUCUAACAAAUUAUCUACGAGCAAAAGGGGUGAGCGAUUUUCAUGAAGCCAAGUCAUGUUAUUAGUAUAAUGGAGCACAUAUAACCAUUACCGGCCAGAGCUGGAUUUUCCAAACGAUAGAUGAACUAUACAACCACCAGAAUUCGUGAUGCUCUAUUUGGUCUACUGUACUAUUUAAUGGAGGAAUAAAGUCUUGCUGUUAUUUUUAAA
Long non-coding RNA from Octopus sinensis (East Asian common octopus), 714 nucleotides. RefSeq lists it as uncharacterized. The transcript has 2 exons. NCBI's taxonomy places the organism in Eukaryota, Metazoa, Mollusca, Cephalopoda, Octopoda, Octopodidae. The record is from RefSeq and is a predicted model, not a curated record.